This 775-nucleotide ribosomal RNA is filed under the name uncultured Neocallimastigales. RNAcentral's name for it is "partial large subunit ribosomal RNA". It matches the Rfam family "Eukaryotic large subunit ribosomal RNA", at positions 24 to 616 of the family's 3401-position model. The record is from RNAcentral. Lineage: Eukaryota; Fungi; Neocallimastigomycota; Neocallimastigomycetes; Neocallimastigales.
UAUGUGAUCGUCUCUCGCAUAUCAAUAAGCGGAGGAAAAGAAACUAACAAGGAUUCCCCUAGUAACGGCGAGUGAAGCGGGAAGAGCUCAAAUUUGAAAUCUUAAAGGGUUUCCCUUUACGAAUUGUAGUUUAAAGAAGUGUUUUCUGUUGAGGUUUUGGUAAAAGUUCUUUGGAAUAGGACAUCAUAGAGGGUGAGAAUCCCGUAUUUGACCUUUACUUUCAACUUUGUGAUACACUUUCAAAGAGUCGGAUUGUUUGGGAAUGCAGUCCAAAAUGGGUGGUAAAUUUCAUCUAAAGCUAAAUAUUGGCGAGAGACCGAUAGCGAACAAGUACCGUGAGGGAAAGAUGAAAAGAACUUUGAAGAGAGAGUUAAACAGUACGUGAAAUUGUCAAAAGGGAAGCGUUUGACACCAGUGUUGUUUUUCUGAAAAUCAAUUAAAGAACUGUUUAUGCUAAGCUGUUUAGACUUUAUCAGCUAUCUGUUUAGUUUUGAGCUUUUCUUUAAUGCACUUUUCAGUUAACAAGUCAACAUCAAUUUCUUUUGCUGUAAAAAAGCUUGAGGAAGGUGGCUUGAGAUUCGUCUUAAGUGUUUAUAGCCUCUUAGCCUAUGCAGUCGGAGAGAUUGAGGUCUGCAGCGUAGAUCCUUCGGGGCUAAAUGCAUUUGUGCUAAGUUAUAGCAUUUUAUAGACAACUUGUUGACUAUGAUUUGUCUUGUAGCUUACUCGCUUAUGUUAUUUUACCUACGCUUAGGAUGUUGAGCGCAUGUCUCUCUCU